UUCUACAGUGUAUAAAAUAAAGCACUGGAGUUCUGGAGAGGUGAGGCAGAAUACGAAGGUAAACAGGAAUCAUUAUUCCUUUUCUCAGAGGUAUGUAAUCUACAGGGGAAGCAUGCAGCACCUGAAAGGGGAGGAGAGGUUGGUGGGCCAUGCAGGGUUGAAGGAGGAGCAUAGGAACAUGGGUCUGGGAAAGUUUGGCUAGCUUUACAGUGCUCAAUUGAAAUACUACUUUGCAAUAUUUUCUCAACACCAGGGUUCUAGUUUGUUAGUCCUACUGAGACAUCAGGUCAGAAGAAAAGAACAAAAGUGAGAAGGCAUUCAUGGCUUUGCAUUCUCAGAAAGUCAUCCUGCUGGUUCAACUGUGUAUGAUUGAGCAUAUUGUCAUUGAUGAAGAAUUUUUAUUUAUUUUUGAUCAAAGACUUCACCAUGUUUCCUGAACUUUUCAAUCUUCUGUUUGCAGAGUUUAAUGUGAGCUCUCCUCGGGCCUGGGAGAAAUUCUGAGAGUGACCCCUGAGAAUGAGCUCAGUGGUGAGAAGUCCAAGGACAGGAUGAGGUCGACAUUGCAAGUGUUUUUGGAAUAAGAAUCAACACACUUAAAGACUGGGAUUUGGAAGUGAGAAGGAGUACAUGGAAGUGAUUCAGGAAAACAAGGAAAUGAGACACAAGUGGCAACAUUUGUCAAAGUUCUAUGCAUUUGUUCCUUUGGAUUCAAGUGAAACAUCUGGAGUCAAUUCUUAACCCAAUGUUGGUUUGUUCUCACCAACCUCUUUGCCCUGCUAUUGGAAAAUAUAUUACAUUUCUGUAUGUUAUAUGCCCACAGAUACAAUUAAAUGUAUACUGCUUUAUGAUUUUUAAACAAGAUAAGAAAGGAUAAGAAAUAGGCAAUUAUACUCCUUUAUAAUUGCAUAAUUACCUUUAUCAGUGUUCUUUGUUUUGUGUGUGUGUGUAUUCAAAUUACUGUCUUUGGUCACUUGCUUUCAGCCUGAAGAACUAACUUUAGCAUGUCUUGUAAGGUAGGUCUAUUGGCAGCAGAUUCUUUCAGAUUUUGUUUUCCAAAUGUCUUUUUAUUUCAUCUUCACUUUUAAAUGAUAAUUUUGCUGGAUAUAUGAUUCUUGAUUAAGAGCUUUUAAAAUUUGAGGGCUGAGAAUAGGUUAUCCUAUUGCCUUCAGCCCUCUAUUGUUUCUGAUGAUAAGUCAACUGUUAAUCUUAUACGAGUUUUCUUAAGCAAGAUGUCAUUUUCCUCUUGCUGCCUUCAAGAUUUUCUUUGGCAUUUUUACUAUGUGUCUAUUCAUGGGUCUUUUUGAGUUUAUCCUACUUGCAGUUUGUUGAACAUCCUGGAUAUAUAGAUUUAAAUUUUUUAGGAAAUGGGAAUUUUUUAGCCACUAAUUUUUCAAAUAUUUUUCUGCUCCUUUCCUUCUCUGUUCUUCUGGUGCUGCCUUUACAUGUCUGUUGGUAUACAUUAGUGUCCCACAUUUCUCUGAGACUUUGCUCAUUUUUUCUUCAUUCUUUUUUCACUCUGUUCUUGGAUUGCAUAAUUUCUAUUGAUCUAUUCUUAAGUACUUUUACUUUCUGCCCGUUUAAGUGUAUUAUUGAUUCCAUCUAGUGAAUUUUUAAAUUUCAGUUAUUGCUCCUUUCAGUUUCAAAAUUUCCAUUUGGUUAUUUUUAAUAAUUUCUGUCUCUUUAUUAAUGUUCUCUAUGUGAUGUGACACUGUCUUCAUGCUUUACUUCUAAAAUCAUGGUUUUCUUUGUUUCUUUGAACAUAUUUAUAAUGGCUUCUUUUCUCACAUCUGGUCUCUCCUGCAGGUGGCUUUAUUGCCUGCUAUUCUUCUGGUAUCUAGGCCAUAAUUUCCUGCUUAUUUUGCAUGUCUCAUAUUUUUUGGAAAAUGAACAUUUUAGAUAUUGCAGCAACUUUGGGUACUGGCUUCAUCUCUCCCCUCUGUCAGUGCUUGUCAUUGUUGUUAGCUUGUUUACUUGUUUAAAGACUAACUGGAUUAUUUUAGUGUUGUCCAUUCCCUUCUCUUCCUCCUCUAUCCACUAAACAGACACAGGGUAAAGCCUCUGAUGUUUUUCCUCAGGGAUUCAUCCUUGGACAUGCCCAGCCACUUUGGGAUAACAAGGUUUUAGCAGGACUUAGGCAGUGUUUGUCUAGUUACCUGACCACGCUAACCUAUGAAACUCCACUAACUGCUGGUUAAAAGCUCUAUUGUUCAUAACAAUGCCCUGGAGAAUAAAUUAUUUACACCCUAAUCCAGUCAAAUUCAGGCUGCUAUGAAGGGACAGUUCCUGAUGGUCAAAGUUUGAAAUUUAUUCAGACUCUAGUUCUUGCAGCUGGUUUCUUAUUUUUCUCCAGGAACUAGUUGGCUUAUCAUUUAGCCUGUAUCUUCAAUGAAUUUAUCAGUCUCCUCCCCAUUGCCUCUCACCAACACUUCUACUGUUUUUGAAAGCAAACUUAGAUUUGAACUUCAUAUGCUGUUGCAAAUAAAGUUGGCUCCUUUGGGGAGAUAAUUUGAGCUCUCUGUUCUAUGGUCUGCCUUUCCUCCCAGGGAAAAUCUCUGAGCCACAACUCUGGUGCUGGAGUAAGGAACAAUAGGUCAAUUCUAAGUGACAGCCCAGUUUGAAGAAGUAAGUGCUCAGUGGAUAUAUGGGCAAGAGCCCCAGGUGUCCUUGGCUUGUCUCCCUUGGCACAAGCCCCUGUCCUAUGAGCUGAGUCAAUAGCAAUUGGGACCUCAAUGUCCUACCAUGCCCAAGGUAGAACCUUUGUCUCAUGAGAGGAAACAUGGUGGAAGAAUGGGGCCCCCACCUGUUGGCUGCAGUAGUACAGAACUUUGCCUCAGCAACAAGUAUCUAGGGGCAGUAUGAGAAAUGCUAAUGUCAUGUCCUUCCCAGGAAGACAACCCUCCAACCAGGAC
Long non-coding RNA from Camelus dromedarius (Arabian camel), 2909 nucleotides. RefSeq lists it as uncharacterized. The record is from RefSeq and is a predicted model, not a curated record. The transcript is spliced from 3 exons. Lineage: Eukaryota; Metazoa; Chordata; Mammalia; Artiodactyla; Camelidae.